RNAcentral lists this ribosomal RNA (761 nucleotides) under uncultured Actinomyces sp. RNAcentral describes it as "bacterial SSU rRNA". It matches the Rfam family "Bacterial small subunit ribosomal RNA", at positions 28 to 776 of the family's 1533-position model. The record is from RNAcentral. Lineage: Bacteria; Bacillati; Actinomycetota; Actinomycetes; Actinomycetales; Actinomycetaceae.
GACGAACGCGGCGGCGUGCUUAACACAUGCAAGUCGAACGAUGAUGCGGUGCUUGCACCGUUGAUUAGUGGCGAACGGGUGAGUAACACGUGAGUAACCUGCCCUCUUCUUUGGGAUAACGGUCUGAAAGGGCUGCUAAUACUGAAUAUUCACACGUCUUCGCAUGGGGGUGUGUGGAAAGAGAUGCUUUUGGGUGUUUUUGGUGGGGGAUGGGCUCGCGGCCUAUCAGCCUGUUGGUGGGGUAGUGGCCUACCAAGGCUUUGACGGGUAACCGGCCUGAGAGGGUGACCGGUCACAUUGGGACUGAGAUACGGCCCAGACUCCUACGGGAGGCAGCAGUGGGGAAUUUUGCACAAUGGACGCAAGUCUGAUGCAGCGACGCCGCGUGAGGGAUGUAGGCCUUCGGGUUGUGAACCUCUUUCGCUCAUGGUCAAGCCGCAGCUUUGGGUUGUGGUGAGGGUAGUGGGUAAAGAAGCGCCGGCUAACUACGUGCCAGCAGCCGCGGUAAUACGUAGGGCGCGAGCGUUGUCCGGAAUUAUUGGGCGUAAAGGGCUUGUAGGCGGUUGGUCGCGUCUGCCGUGAAAUCCUCUGGCUUAACUGGGGGCGUGCGGUGGGUACGGGCUGGCUUGAGUGCGGUAGGGGAGACUGGAAUUCCUGGUGUAGCGGUGGAAUGCGCAGAUAUCAGGAGGAACACCGGUGGCGAAGGCGGGUCUCUGGGCCGUUACUGACGCUGAGGAGCGAAAGCGUGGGGAGCGAACAGG